RNAcentral lists this ribosomal RNA (498 nucleotides) under uncultured bacterium. RNAcentral's name for it is "partial 16S ribosomal RNA". It matches the Rfam family "Bacterial small subunit ribosomal RNA", at positions 30 to 523 of the family's 1533-position model. The record is from RNAcentral.
AUUGAACGCUGGCGGCAUGCCUUACACAUGCAAGUCGAACGGUAACAGGUCUUCGGAUGCUGACGAGUGGCGAACGGGUGAGUAAUACAUCGGAACGUGCCUAGUAGUGGGGGAUAACUACUCGAAAGAGUGGCUAAUAAUGCAUGAGAUCUACGGAUGAAAGCAGGGGAUCGCAAGACCUUGUGCUACUAGAGCGGCCGAUGGCAGAUUAGGUAGUUGGUGGGAUAAAGGCUUACCAAGCCGACGGUCUGUAGCGGGUAUGAGAGGACGAUCAGCCACACUGGGACUGAGAAACGGCCCAGACUCCUACAGGAGGCAGCAGUGGGGAAUUUUGGACAAUGGGCGCAAGCCUGAUCCAGCAAUGCCGCGUGCAGGAUGAAGGCCUUCGGGUUGUAAACUGCUUUUGUACGGAACGAAAAGCCCCGGGUUAAUACCCUGGGGUCAUGACGGUACCGUAAGAAUAAGCACCGGCUAACUACGUGCCAGCAGCCGCAGUAA